This 310-nucleotide long non-coding RNA is filed under the name Nicotiana benthamiana. Its description in RNAcentral is "long non-coding RNA (NBEN_LNC014657)". The record is from RNAcentral. Lineage: Eukaryota; Viridiplantae; Streptophyta; Magnoliopsida; Solanales; Solanaceae.
GUGUAAUUAAUAAUUGUCUUUAUGUCGCUGGUGGGGAGUGUGAAGGACUACAGAGGACUCUCCGUUCAGCUGAAGUUUAUGACCCCAACCGGAAGCGCUGGAGUUUUAUAGCUGAUAUGAGCACAGCGAUGGUGCCUUUUAUUGGGGUUGUAUAUGAUGGGAAGUGGUUUGUAAAAGGCUUGGAUAGCUGAUAUGAGCACAGCGAUGGUGCCCUUUAUUGGGGUUGUAUAUGAUGGGAAGUGGUUUGUAAAAGGCUUGGGAUCCCGCAGAGAAGUUCUCAGUGAAGCUUAUAACCCUGAUAUCAAUGCGU